UACGUAGGCAGCAAGCGUUGUUCGGAAUUACUGGGCGUAAAGGGUGCGUAGGCGGUUUUGUAAGUUUGGUGUGAAAUCUCCCGGCUUAACUGGGAGGGUGCGCCGAAAACUGCAAGGCUAGAGUGCAGGAGAGGAGAGUGGAAUUCCUGGUGUAGCGGUGAAAUGCGUAGAUAUCAGGAGGAACACCGGUGGUGUAGACGGCUCUCUGGACUGUUACUGACGCUGAGGCACGAAAGCGUGGGGAGCAAACAGG
This 253-nucleotide ribosomal RNA is filed under the name uncultured bacterium. Its description in RNAcentral is "partial 16S ribosomal RNA". It matches the Rfam family "Bacterial small subunit ribosomal RNA", at positions 524 to 776 of the family's 1533-position model. The record is from RNAcentral.